AGCAGCCGCGGUAAUUCCAGCUCCAAUAGCGUAUAUUAAAGUUGUUGCAGUUAAAAAGCUCGUAGUUGAAUUUCGGGGUCAGUAGGUCGGUCGUGCCACUGGUAUGAACUGGUUUUACUGAUUCCUCCCUCUUGAAGAACUGUAAUGCCAUUAAUUUGGUGUUGCAGGGAAUCAGGACUGUUACUUUGAAAAAAUUAGAGUGUUUAAAGCAGGCUUUAGCUUGAAUACAUUAGCAUGGGAUAAUGAAAUAGGACGUUUGAUCCUAUUUUGUGGUUUCUAGGAUUGACGUAAUGAUUAAUAGGGAUAGUUGGGGGCAUUAGUAUUCAAUUGUCAGAGGUGAAAUUCUUGGAUUUAUUGAAGACUAACUACUGCGAAAGCAUUUGCCAAGGAUGUUUUCAUUAAUCAAGAACGAAAGUUAGGGAUCGAAGACGAUCAGAUACCGUCGUAGUUUUAACCAUUAAACUAUGCCGACUAGGAAUCAGACGAUUGUUAAUUUUUAAUGUACUUCGUUUGGCUACCUUACGGGAAACCAAAGGUUCGUUUGGGUUACG
RNAcentral lists this ribosomal RNA (551 nucleotides) under uncultured Glomus. Its description in RNAcentral is "SSU rRNA". It matches the Rfam family "Eukaryotic small subunit ribosomal RNA", at positions 569 to 1116 of the family's 1831-position model. The record is from RNAcentral. Lineage: Eukaryota; Fungi; Glomeromycota; Glomeromycetes; Glomerales; Glomeraceae.